This 65-nucleotide transfer RNA is filed under the name Macridiscus semicancellata. RNAcentral describes it as "tRNA-Ile". Lineage: Eukaryota; Metazoa; Mollusca; Bivalvia; Venerida; Veneridae. RNAcentral also lists the same sequence under 1 other name. The record is from RNAcentral.
GGUGUUAUGCCAGAAUAAUUGGGUUAUCUUGAUGAGGUAAAAUAUAGGAAUAUUCCUUGGCACUU